This 1638-nucleotide long non-coding RNA is filed under the name Anas platyrhynchos platyrhynchos (common mallard). RNAcentral describes it as "lncRNA (ENSAPLG00000022116.1)". The record is from RNAcentral. Lineage: Eukaryota; Metazoa; Chordata; Aves; Anseriformes; Anatidae.
AAUUAUACUACACCUCAGGUGGUAUUAAUGGCACUAAGCCAAAUGGCUAUAAUCACACAAGAACUCUAAUAAUCUCCCUGCAAUGUUUUGGUUUGAGUGUCUUGCUGCUGAUUUUGAAAUGUCAUUUGAUACAUAAAAAUAAAGAAGAGAAUUGGUUCUCUCCAACUUAGUGGGGAUAUAGUCAUGGGAAUGACAACAAUGUCAAAGUCAGAAAGGUUCAAAUGUGUUCUGAGCUUUUUCAGUUUUUGAUUUUUUUUUCCAAUUAAUUAUACCAGUAUUAAUAGAUGUCACUGCAGUUUAUACUUUUUCAGCGUGAACUCUGAAAUAGCAUAGAUGGUCUAAUACAAACAUGAUUUUGAUUCUUUACAGGCAAGAACAAAUCCAGACAAGAUUUGGAAGAGCUCUUUCAUCAGAUCAAAAUAUUUAUAAUGUCAAUGCCAAUCAGGUAGAAUUUCUGUGCAAUAUAUUUUUUUUUCAUUUAUGAAUAUGAUAUUUUUGGAGCAAGUGUUUGUACAAUGCUUUUGAAUUCCAUUGCUUUUAAAAAGUAUAACAUGACUUUGCAAAAAAUAGUGUGACUUUUUUUUUUUUGUAAUAAUUUUGGGAGGAAAAAAAAAAAAAAGGAUUAUACAGACCCAGUGCCACAAAAGGACUUUAAAACAAAACAGGCAGAAUAGACAUUGCAGCAACCUGACCUACAACAAAAUCCCUCACCAAAUGUAUUAGUGCUUAUUUCCACAGAUACUCAAUAUUACUGCACAUGGCCAUAGACAUACCAGUAUGGUAAGGCUAUGAAGGAAGGAUCAGCCUUGUCUUCUGGCUGAGGAAAUGCAGAGAUAUCUGCCAUUCUUCUUGAUGACAACUUUCUCUCUUUUGAGAGGGUGUCACAUUCAACUCCUAAACUGGAAGAUAUUCCCACUUUUAAAGAGAUAACUGAAUUUCUCUAAAUCACAGACUGGGAGCACUCCCUUGCAAGUGCUACAGACUGGUAUACAAAGGCAGCAAUCAACCAGCUCUGCCUUCCUGUGCCUGAGCUCCCAAAUUGCUGGGCUGCAGUCCCUAGAACAGCUGGCUGUGAUCAUAUUCUCACUUAAACAUGCAUACUUUUUUGCUCACACAACAUCAAAUAUGUUAAAUCUCUUUCUUCCCCUGUUCACAGAUGAUGGAUCGCUGCACCUUCUUAGAGAAACAGCUGUAUUCCAAAAUUCAGCCGUAGAGGAUUGAGAGCCCACUUGGGGAAACUGUAAAAAAUCUUUAAGAAUGAAGCAGCCACCUCAAUUUUAUCAGUAAGUUUCAAAGCACUGAAUGAAAAACUAUGGUUAAGUUAUAAAUAUGUUUUUCACUCCCCUACUGCAUCUGCUGUACAGCAGCACAGACAGACAUGCAACUGACAUUCAGCCAUUCUUUUUUUUGCAUCAUCAAGAGCUUCUGAUCUUUCAUACUGUUGCAGGCUUUACAAACCUGGAGAUCUGAAUGAGCAUCUUAGUAACUGUUAAGCUUAUACAAGCAAAUUCACUGUAAAACAUCAUUUAUCUGACUGUAUAUUUGUGUUGGAUUGCAUUUUCCUAGUUAGCAAUGUAUUUUAGCUCAAAGUUUAACAGAUCAUUGCACCAAUAGUUUCACAAGGUUGUCAUGAAAAAC